AGAGUUUGAUCCUGGCUCAGGACGAACGCUGGCGGCAUGCCUAAUACAUGCAAGUCGAACGAACUCUGGUAUUGAUUGGUGCUUGCAUCAUGAUUUACAUUUGAGUGAGUGGCGAACUGGUGAGUAACACGUGGGAAACCUGCCCAGAAGCGGGGGAUAACACCUGGAAACAGAUGCUAAUACCGCAUAACAACUUGGACCGCAUGGUCCGAGUUUGAAAGAUGGCUUCGGCUAUCACUUUUGGAUGGUCCCGCGGCGUAUUAGCUAGAUGGUGGGGUAACGGCUCACCAUGGCAAUGAUACGUAGCCGACCUGAGAGGGUAAUCGGCCACAUUGGGACUGAGACACGGCCCAAACUCCUACGGGAGGCAGCAGUAGGGAAUCUUCCACAAUGGACGAAAGUCUGAUGGAGCAACGCCGCGUGAGUGAAGAAGGGUUUCGGCUCGUAAAACUCUGUUGUUGAAGAAGAACAUAUCUGAGAGUAACUGUUCAGGUAUUGACGGUAUUUAACCAGAAAGCCACGGCUAACUACGUGCCAGCAGCCGCGGUAAUACGUAGGUGGCAAGCGUUGUCCGGAUUUAUUGGGCGUAAAGCGAGCGCAGGCGGUUUUUUAAGUCUGAUGUGAAAGCCUUCGGCUCAACCGAAGAAGUGCAUCGGAAACUGGGAAACUUGAGUGCAGAAGAGGACAGUGGAACUCCAUGUGUAGCGGUGAAAUGCGUAGAUAUAUGGAAGAACACCAGUGGCGAAGGCGGCUGUCUGGUCUGUGACUGACGCUGAGGCUCGAAAGUAUGGGUAGCAAACAGGAUUAGAUACCCUGGUAGUCCAUACCGUAAACGAUGAAUGCUAAGUGUUGGAGGGUUUCCGCCCUUCAGUGCUGCAGCUAACGCAUUAAGCAUUCCGCCUGGGGAGUACGGCCGCAAGGCUGAAACCCAAAGGAAUUGACGGGGGCCCGCACAAGCGGUGGAGCAUGUGGUUUAAUUCGAAGCUACGCGAAGAACCUUACCAGGUCUUGACAUACUAUGCAAAUCUAAGAGAUUAGACGUUCCCUUCGGGGACAUGGAUACAGGUGGUGCAUGGUUGUCGUCAGCUCGUGUCGUGAGAUGUUGGGUUAAGUCCCGCAACGAGCGCAACCCUUAUUAUCAGUUGCCAGCAUUAAGUUGGGCACUCUGGUGAGACUGCCGGUGACAAACCGGAGGAAGGUGGGGAUGACGUCAAACCAUCAUGCCCCUUAUGACCUGGGCUACACACGUGCUACAAUGGAUGGUACAACGAGUUGCGAACUCGCGAGAGUAAGCUAAUCUCUUAAAGCCAUUCUCAGUUCGGAUUGUAGGCUGCAACUCGCCUACAUGAAGUCGGAAUCGCUAGUAAUCGCGGAUCAGCAUGCCGCGGUGAAUACGUUCCCGGGCCUUGUACACACCGCCCGUCACACCAUGAGAGUUUGUAACACCCAAAGUCGGUGGGGUAACCUUUUAGGAACCAGCCGCCUAAGGUGGGACAGAUGAUUAGGGUGAAGUCGUAACAAGGUAACC
This 1528-nucleotide ribosomal RNA is filed under the name uncultured Lactobacillus sp. RNAcentral's name for it is "partial 16S ribosomal RNA". It matches the Rfam family "Bacterial small subunit ribosomal RNA". Lineage: Bacteria; Bacillati; Bacillota; Bacilli; Lactobacillales; Lactobacillaceae. The record is from RNAcentral.